This 72-nucleotide transfer RNA is filed under the name Camelus bactrianus (Bactrian camel). It matches the Rfam family "tRNA". Rfam says of the family: Transfer RNA (tRNA) molecules are approximately 80 nucleotides in length. Their secondary structure includes four short double-helical elements and three loops (D, anti-codon, and T loops). RNAcentral also lists the same sequence under 2 other names. The record is from Rfam by way of RNAcentral. Lineage: Eukaryota; Metazoa; Chordata; Mammalia; Artiodactyla; Camelidae.
GUAGGUAUAGCUCAGUGGUAGAGCACAUGUUUAGCAUGCACAUAGUCCUGGGUUCAAUCCCCAGUACCUCCA